UCCUACGGGGGGCAGCAGUUAGGAAUAUUGGUCAAUGGGAGAGAUCCUGAACCAGCCAAGCCGCGUGAGGGAAGACGGCCCUAUGGGUUGUAAACCUCUUUUGUCGGAGGACAAAACCCGGGACGUGUCCCGGACUGCGUGUAUCCGAAGAAAAAGCAUCGGCUAACUCCGUGCCAGCAGCCGCGGUAAUACGGAGGAUGCGAGCGUUAUCCGGAUUUAUUGGGUUUAAAGGGUGCGUAGGCGGACUGUUAAGUCAGCGGUAAAAGCCCGGGGCUCAACCCCGGCGAGCCGUUGAAACUGCAUCC
Molecule: ribosomal RNA, 305 nt
Filed under: uncultured bacterium
Lineage: Bacteria
Description: bacterial SSU rRNA
Rfam family: Bacterial small subunit ribosomal RNA
Source: RNAcentral